Molecule: transfer RNA, 73 nt
Filed under: Limulus polyphemus (Atlantic horseshoe crab)
Lineage: Eukaryota; Metazoa; Arthropoda; Merostomata; Xiphosura; Limulidae
Description: tRNA-Val
Source: RNAcentral
GUACUUGUGGUGUAGUGGUCAUCACAUUCGCUUUACACGCGAAAGGUCCCACGUUCAAUCCCUAGCAGGCACA